Molecule: ribosomal RNA, 225 nt
Filed under: uncultured bacterium
Lineage: Bacteria
Description: partial 16S ribosomal RNA
Rfam family: Bacterial small subunit ribosomal RNA
Source: RNAcentral
AAUCAACGCUGGCGGCGUGCCUCAGACAUGCAAGUCGAACGCGAAAGUUUCCUUCGGGGAGCGAGUAGAGUGGCGCACGGGUGAGUAACACGUAGGUAAUCUACCUUCGGAUGGGGAAUAACAAUCGGAAACGGUUGCUAAUACCGCAUAAUGCAGCGGCUACCUAAAUGGUGACAGUUGUUAAAGCGGAGGAUCGUAAGACCUCGCGUCUGAAGAGGAGCCUGC